RNAcentral lists this ribosomal RNA (253 nucleotides) under uncultured bacterium. RNAcentral's name for it is "partial 16S ribosomal RNA". It matches the Rfam family "Bacterial small subunit ribosomal RNA", at positions 524 to 776 of the family's 1533-position model. The record is from RNAcentral.
GACGAACCGUGCGAACGUUGUUCGGAAUCACUGGGUUUAAAGGGCGCGUAGGCGGGCUGUCAAGUCGGUGGUGAAAUCGUUCCGCUCAACGGGACAAUGGCCUUCGAUACUGGCGGUCUGGAGGGAGGUAGGGGCAUGCGGAACUUCCGGUGGAGCGGUGAAAUGCGUAGAGAUCGGAAAGAACACCAACGGCGAAAGCACUCUGCUGGGCCGACACUGACACUGAGAGACGAAAGCUAGGGGAGCGAAUGGG